This 74-nucleotide transfer RNA is filed under the name Streptomyces mutabilis. The record is from RNAcentral. Lineage: Bacteria; Bacillati; Actinomycetota; Actinomycetes; Kitasatosporales; Streptomycetaceae.
ACCCGAGGACCACCGCCAGCGAGCUGGGCACCAGGGCGAGACCGGCCUCCAGCGGGGAGUAGCCCAGGACGUUC